This 497-nucleotide ribosomal RNA is filed under the name uncultured bacterium. Its description in RNAcentral is "partial 16S ribosomal RNA". It matches the Rfam family "Bacterial small subunit ribosomal RNA", at positions 28 to 507 of the family's 1533-position model. The record is from RNAcentral.
GAUGAACGCUGGCGGCGUGCCUAAUACAUGCAAGUCGAGCGAACAGACGAGGAGCUUGCUCCUCUGACGUUAGCGGCGGACGGGUGAGUAACACGUGGAUAACCUACCUAUAAGACUGGGAUAACUUCGGGAAACCGGAGCUAAUACCGGAUAAUAUAUUGAACCGCAUGGUUCAAUAGUGAAAGACGGUUUUGCUGUCACUUAUAGAUGGAUCCGCGCCGCAUUAGCUGGUUGGUAAGGUAACGGCUUACCAAGGCAACGAUGCGUAGCCGACCUGAGAGGGUGAUCGGCCACACUGGAACUGAGACACGGUCCAGACUCCUACGGGAGGCAGCAGUAGGGAAUCGUCCGCAAUGGGCGAAAGCCUGACGGAGCAACGCCGCGUGAGUGAUGAAGGUCUUCGGAUCGUAAAACUCUGUUAUUAGGGAAGAACAAAUGUGUAAGUAACUAUGCACGUCUUGACGGUACCUAAUCAGAAAGCCACGGCUAACUACGUG